This 349-nucleotide ribosomal RNA is filed under the name uncultured bacterium. Its description in RNAcentral is "bacterial SSU rRNA". It matches the Rfam family "Bacterial small subunit ribosomal RNA", at positions 28 to 361 of the family's 1533-position model. The record is from RNAcentral.
GAUGAACGCUGGCGGCGUGUCUAAGGCAUGCAAGUCGAACGGACUGUUAUUUGUAGCAAUACUUAGAACAGUUAGUGGCAAACGGGUGCGUAACACAUUGGUAACCUGCCUCAAAGUCGGGCAUAAUCCCGCGAAAGUGGGACUAAUUCCACGAUGGUCAUCGAAGGUGAGAUUCCUUCGAUGUAAAGUCGCAAGACGCUUUGAGAGGGGCCUAUGGCCUAUCAGCUUGUUGGUGAGGUAACGGCUCACCAAGGCUAUGACGGGUAGGGGUGGUGGAGAGGCGGACCGGCCGACACUGGGACGUGAGACACGGCCCGACGACUCCUACGGACGGGCGAGCAGUGGGGAA